This 76-nucleotide transfer RNA is filed under the name Desulfurivibrionaceae bacterium. RNAcentral's name for it is "tRNA-Asn". It matches the Rfam family "tRNA". From Rfam's summary of the family: Transfer RNA (tRNA) molecules are approximately 80 nucleotides in length. Their secondary structure includes four short double-helical elements and three loops (D, anti-codon, and T loops). The record is from RNAcentral. Lineage: Bacteria; Pseudomonadati; Thermodesulfobacteriota; Desulfobulbia; Desulfobulbales; Desulfurivibrionaceae.
UGGCAUGUAGCUCAGUUGGUAGAGCAGGUGACUGUUAAUCACCGGGUCGCAGGUUCGAGCCCUGCCAUGCCAGCCA